Podarcis lilfordi (Lilford's wall lizard) is the source of this 87-nucleotide non-coding RNA. The record is from the annotation of a GenBank genome assembly. NCBI's taxonomy places the organism in Eukaryota, Metazoa, Chordata, Lepidosauria, Squamata, Lacertidae.
GGUUUCAUAAACUCAGCCUCCAGCUGGUAGAGCAGGAGACUCUUGAACUCAGUGUCGUGGGUUCAAUCCCCACAUUGGGCGAAAUCU